This 497-nucleotide ribosomal RNA is filed under the name uncultured bacterium. RNAcentral describes it as "partial 16S ribosomal RNA". It matches the Rfam family "Bacterial small subunit ribosomal RNA", at positions 28 to 507 of the family's 1533-position model. The record is from RNAcentral.
GAUGAACGCUGGCGGCGUGCCUAAUACAUGCAAGUCGAGCGAACAGACCAGGACCUUGCUCCUCUCACGUUAGCGGAACACGGGUGAGUAACACGUGGGUAACCUACCUCACUGACUGAGAUAACUUCGGGAAUCCGGCUCUUAUAGCGGAUAAUAUAUUGAACCACGUGGUUCAAUAGAGAAAGACGGGUUUGGGGUGACUUAUCGGCGUAUCCGCGGCGCAUUAGCUAGUUGGUCAGGUAACGGCUUACCAAGGCAACGAGGCGUAGCCGACCGGAGAGGGGGAUCGGCCACACUGGAACUGAGAGACGGUCCAGACUCCUACGGGAGGCAGCAGUAGGGAAUGUGGCGGAAGGGGCGAAAGCCUGACGGAGCAACGCCGCGUGAGUGAUGAAGGUCUUCGGAUCGUAAAACUCUGUUAUUAGGUAAGAACAAAUGUGUAAGUACCUAUGCACGUCUUGACGGUACCUAAUCAGAAAGCCACGGCUAACUACGUG